AACCAAUAAAAAGUGAAUGAUAAUCAUAAAAUUAAAAUUAAAAACAAAAUAAAUAAAUAAAUAAAUAAAAUAAAAUAAAAUAAAAUAAAAGUCUUCGUAGGCCUAGUGUGCCUAAACGGGCCUAAGGUGAGACUAAGUGGGCCUAGGGUAGUGCCUAAUGGGCCAAGUGUAUCUAAAAGCUAUCCUAAAAAAAACAAGAAAAGCCUAAGUCUAAGUUAGGGCUGCCAAGGGUCACAAUAAG
Molecule: long non-coding RNA, 241 nt
Filed under: Vitis vinifera (wine grape)
Lineage: Eukaryota; Viridiplantae; Streptophyta; Magnoliopsida; Vitales; Vitaceae
Description: long non-coding RNA (VVIN_LNC004143)
Source: RNAcentral